Long non-coding RNA from Gadus morhua (Atlantic cod), 1598 nucleotides. NCBI's taxonomy places the organism in Eukaryota, Metazoa, Chordata, Actinopteri, Gadiformes, Gadidae. The record is from Ensembl.
CUCGUAGUAACUUUCCAGAAAAACGAAAGGGUUAUGAUGAGAGAUUAUGUCAUACCCUGGCACAUGCUUUGUCCAAUGGACCAUGGAAGGCUGGCUGACGAGGGCGCACCUCAACAGUAUCAGAGCAACAGCUGUGGGGUGUUUAUGCUGAUGGGGGACAUGCUCUCUAUCAGGAGGUGGUGGUGUGGACAGCUGUUGGAGACCUUUAUGCUUGAAAGCCCUGCAGAACUAGCUGGCUCCUUCUCACCCUCUCCAUCUCCCCAUCUCAGUCACACCUUCCAAUCACUAAGCAGUGAAAGGUUUUACAUACUAUGUCCAUACUUUUCUAUUUACGUAUAUUCUCUCUUGCUCUUUCUCAGACUUUUGAUCGAUCAGUGAUUGCCUUUUUGUUUAAUGGUGUGGGUAGUGUUGGUCUGGUCUUGUGUGAUUGAAUUGAAGGUUGAUUAUAAUCCCUGUUUCUCUCCCUCUCUCUCGCUCUCCUUCACUCUUUUUCGACUCUCUCGCUCUCUCUAGCCCUGCAGGACUAGCUGGCACACCAAGCUCACCCUCUCCAUCUCCCCAUCUCAGCCACACGCUCCAAUCUGGCACAACAGAGGACAGGCCAUUCUUACCACCCGAAGUCCUUCAGCAAAUUGUACAAGAGACGCUGAGACUGGACAUGGCGAUGCUUGGCGUGUUCAACAGGGUUUCAAACACAUUCCGAGAACUAAUCAAGCCUCUCCAUCCUUCCAUAUCUAUAAAUGACAGUUUGGCAGGGGACAUUAAGCUUAAUAAAGACAAUCUCAUAUACAUAACGGUUAGAAAGAUUUACAACAAUGCAGGCUGUGACAGUGGCCUUGCGCUAUGCCUCAAAGGCUUCUCAAAAAAGAAGAAUUGGCCAAUCGCACCCCUGGUACUGAGGCACGUUGCAUAUGGCAGGUUUGUCAUAAAAGAUGUCUGCCUAGCAUAAUGUUCUUUUAUAACUCCUUUUUCGUUUUAUUUGGGACGUCUUUUUUUGCAAUCCCUUUCAUUUGUAAAUGUACAUACUACUGUAGUAAAUGUAAAUGGACUGCAUUUAUAUAGCGCUUUUCUAACCAUUGGCCACUCAAAGCGCUUUACAAUAUUGCCUCACAUUCACCAUUCACGCACACAUUCACACACCAACGGCGGAGUCAACCAUGCAAGGCGACAGCCAGCUCGUCGGAAGCUAACAGUCAGGGUUAGGUGCCUUGCUCAAGGACACCUCGACACUCAGCUAGGAGGAGCCGGGGAUCGAACCAACAACCUUCAGGUUACCAGCCAACCCGCUCUACCUCCUGAGCUACUGCCACCCAAAGUAAAUGUAAAUGUAUCUGCCCAGAAAUGCUGGUAUUUUAUUACUCUCUUUCUUUUUUGUUUUUGUGACAAAUGCUAUACGAUGUAUAACAUACAUUUGUGCUUACGAUGUAUGUUGUAAGGUUAAUUGUUACAGAGCAAUUACUGUAUUUUGUCUUUAUUGAAAACAUUCAGUGGGAAAAGUAAGUGAACACUUGGAGUCAAAUGGCCUACUGUUUGAGCCUUCAUAGUGUCUGGCAACUGGAUUUGAACUGCAUAAUGUCCCAAGUGUUAUUUUAAUCUAU